UACGAAGGGUGCAAGCGUUGUUCGGAAUUACUGGGCGUAAAGCGCGUGUAGGCGGCCCUGUAAGUCAGAUGUGAAUGCCCUCGGCUUAACCGGGGAAGUGCAUCUGAAACUGCUUGGCUUGAGUACCGGAGAGGGAGGCGGAAUUCCCAGUGUAGAGGUGAAAUUCGUAGAUAUUGGGAGGAACACCGGUGGCGAAAGCGGCCUCCUGGACGGAUACUGACGCUGAGACGCGAAAGCGUGGGGAGCAAACAGG
Molecule: ribosomal RNA, 253 nt
Filed under: uncultured bacterium
Lineage: Bacteria
Description: partial 16S ribosomal RNA
Rfam family: Bacterial small subunit ribosomal RNA
Source: RNAcentral